UAACUGAAACCUUCUUAGCUUGCUCCCAUGCCUAGAAAUGAUUAGAAGCAGCAAGACUGAGAAGGGAGCCGAGGGGUCACUAAAGGAACUGUCUUAAGCACUGGGGACACAGAUGCAAGAAAGUAAGACUGUCCUGGGGGAACUUAUAUUCUGAUGGAAGAAGAAAACAGAACCUGAUGGAGCAAGAGAAAAUGAAAAGAGGAUUACCUGUGUGUGUGUGAAAUAUUAACAGACAAACCUCAUUUAGUAAAACAAAGGUUAAAAAGAGAUGAGUUUAGAAACCAUGUUAAAAAUGGAACUAAAAAUUGGAAUAAGCUUAAUAAUCUCUCUCCUGGUUUUCAAUUUCUGCCCAAGGUUUUAAUGAAAUCUGCUACCGGUGAGAGAAAUUGACUAGUAAUAAUUGUUGGGUGAUAAUAAUCCUGCAGCUUGGAAAUAGACGAGAGGAAAAGUGUCUCUGUUAAUGUUUAGGUCUUUGAAAUGUCAGAUAGCACAGAAGGAGGAACAAAAAGCAACUCUAGCUUAGGGACGCCCAGGCAUAGAAGUGUCUGAACAGUCACUAUCACUCCCUAAAUGGCCUGGGGUAGGGACCAAUACUGCCCUCCCUUCUCAGAUGAAUGGGGAUGGGGCCCAUUUCUGGCUG
RNAcentral lists this long non-coding RNA (640 nucleotides) under Monodelphis domestica (gray short-tailed opossum). RNAcentral's name for it is "lncRNA (ENSMODG00000046421.1)". Lineage: Eukaryota; Metazoa; Chordata; Mammalia; Didelphimorphia; Didelphidae. The record is from RNAcentral.